Viridibacillus arenosi FSL R5-213 is the source of this 108-nucleotide regulatory RNA element. It matches the Rfam family "Listeria sRNA rli61". Lineage: Bacteria; Bacillati; Bacillota; Bacilli; Caryophanales; Caryophanaceae. The record is from Rfam.
UGUGAAAUAAAUCACAAACAAACAUACACCCCUUUGUUUGAACGUGAACAUUUCUCCCAUCCCCUUUGUGAAAAGAAGGCGUCUCUCGUAGAGGCGCCUCUUUUAUUU